UGCUGCUUCAUAUUUCUGCAGUUCAACUGCCUCAUGUAUAAAAUAUAAGCCUCGGGUGGAUAACUAAUGCUCCCAUUGUUUUUGUUUGCUCUGAAACUGUGUUUUUCUAACUUCAGAGAGUUCUCCCCAGGUAUGUGUGAAGGUGUGACAUCUGGAUCACGGCAGCUAUUGACACUUUCGACUUCAAUGGACAAGUCUGCAUCUAUUGAGUGUCACCAUGCGCAGCCUGAGGAUGGAGCAGACACCUCAGAAGGCCGAGGGCAGGGAUGCAGAGACAUGCACUGGCAUCAUUUGUACAGCUAAUCCAGAACUGCCUGAAUCUUGUCUACAUCUGGAUUUUUCACUUACAUAAAACAGUAAAUAUCUCCCCGUGUGAAAAGCCAAUGGGAAUUGAAUUUUAUGUCACUUGCAACCAAAGGAUUGCUGACAUUUAUUGUAUUAUUUUUUUCUUUCUCUCUGUUACCUUUGUCUUCUAAUUUCAUUUCACUUCAAAUCACAUGUUGCACCUGAUGGGCAAUGGCCUGAAUCUAGGUGGUAGCUACUUUCCCUUUGGCCUACACAGAAUAACCUAUAGAAUAUAUUUUCCCUUUAAUUUGAAUUAGUUGUCGACAUUUAAAAAUUAUAAAGAAUUUCCAUAAAUACGCACAUUUGUCAACGCUGGGCCUACAAUUCCAAUUGGCUGCAACUAAAUAGCCAUUGUGAUCCUGAGCUGAGCCACGGCAGUCCAUUUCCACCUCUGUGCCUCUGCCUCCGUUGCCUUCCACGGGCACAUGCCCCUUGUUUAUUCCCGUCUGGCCUUCCUGGGCUUGUGCCUUUGUGACCCUGAUCUGCAGCAUGGCAGCUAAUCGGGAUAAAGAAAAAGAGGAAAUCCUGGCUUGCUUCUGUGUAGAAUUUUUUUAAAUGACCCCUAUAGAACAUCUUUACAACUUUGAUUAAUCUCUACUUGUCUUUCCCAAAGUAUCCAGGUAAUUACCAUUCCUACAGAGAGUACUUAAUUAAAAAAUAAUUGAAAAAUUAAGAAUUACUUUCUUAAAACCUGUGAAAUGGAAAAGCACUUAAUGUAAGAAGGCUUAAAGUUAUUUUAUUCAGCUUAAUUUGAUACAGUGUAUACAUAAAAACCCAUCUCAUAAUUAAAUGCUACUUUAAUGAAUGUGCUAAUGGUGGCAAUAAAGCUUUUUAAAUUUGAAAAGAUCUAAAAUUAUCACUCUGCUUUAUAUAAAUCCAGUGUGACUGAGUCUAAAUGACAGGCAGAGGCACACUUUAGUUCUUUGUAAAAAGCUGCACUAACAAGCAAAUGUAAUUGCUAGAUGUUAUCAGCCCUUCCAAUCAAGAGAAUGAAAUCAGUCCUAAGGCUGUCGAUGCAUCUGGGAGGACUGGGUGCCCUAAGUCAAGGGGAUAAUGGGGUUUUCUAAGAAAGUCUGCAUUCUGUGCUGGUGAAGACCAGACAUGCUGAGUUCUGCUUGAUUGCAACUGGCAGUUGUAAGGAACAGUGUGAUACAGGUAAGAGCUUUCUUACCUUUUUAAAAAAAUCUCUCACACUUAAAACUUUGUUUUGGCGUGAUAUCAGCAUUUGAAUAACAUGUAAAUCUAGUAAGUAUCUUUAAUAUAUACACUCUAACAUUAAAUGUUAAAAUGCAC
Long non-coding RNA from Phyllostomus discolor (pale spear-nosed bat), 1638 nucleotides. RefSeq lists it as uncharacterized. Lineage: Eukaryota; Metazoa; Chordata; Mammalia; Chiroptera; Phyllostomidae. The record is from RefSeq and is a predicted model, not a curated record. The transcript has 2 exons.